AUAAAAUUCACCCAGCGGACGUCCCCCACGGCCGGCCCCCAGGGAGUCAACGCAAACAGCUUGCCUGGCCCCCGCGUGGUGCACAGCGAGCGGGGGGGUCUCUGGCACGGCGGGCGGUGGGGACCUGCCAGGGAGCCCUGCGGUUAGCGUUGCCCGCUGCCCUCGUCCCGUGGCGAGCAUGAAACAUGCUGCUGCCUCCGCUGCCGGGGCCUCUCCCUCUGCCCGGCGUGGCCCUGGGGCUGCGGGGAAGGCAUUACUCCCUCCUGGCCUGCUUUCUCAUCAGUUUGCUAGCAGCCGAGCCUGUCCUGCACGCCUCGACCCCGCUGUCUGCCUUGGCUGAUUACGUGUUCCUCAAACUCUUUGAGCCCCCAAAGCAUUUGCUCAGCCCUACCAGAAAGCGCACCUACUGCAAACCCGCUUUACCUCGUGUGAGGAAACUGAGCACCAGCCAGCAGCAAAAAACUGGUGAUGACUCAGUGGCCAGUGCUGCUGCUGGGCAGCGUGCCGAAGGGGACCAAAAAGUGCUGAGCCAGAGCUUCCUCCCUCAGCAGCCUCACAAGCCCGCAGCCGGUCCCCUUGACGGGUAGAGGAAACACACAGCUGCUGUUACUGAACACAGACUCCAAAAAAGGGUUUAUUCCACUGUGAAGUUACGAUGGCCUUGACCUGCUUUGCAGCCACCGCGACGCUCUGCCAGGCUGCCAAAUCGAGUGAUACCAAACAGCCAAAUCCACCCAAUGGCAGCAAAGCAAAGGCACGGGUUCCCGUGGGACCGGCUGUGCUUCCUGCCUCGGAGCAACGUCAGGUCGCGGCUUCCUCCUGAUCCUGGCUGGGCUGCAGCAGCUGCUCCCCUGGGCCAGCUCUGCCCAGCCUUGGAGAAAACAGCACCCAGGACAGACAGACCUCCGAAUGCUCUUAACCCUGCCCAAAUCAGAGCAGCAAUGAGCAGAGAGAGCGUGAGUUUAGUGAGCUUCCCCAAAUACAUAUGCUUUGCAGCUGCACAGCCGAGGAACGGUUGUGUCUUCUUGGACAUGUUGAAGGACUUGUAUGCCUGAAAGCCUGGCUGUUAUUUGUCUAAUUAUAUAAUUUGGCUUAAUAAAAGCUAUUACCUCUCCA
This 1116-nucleotide long non-coding RNA is filed under the name Struthio camelus australis. RNAcentral describes it as "lncRNA (ENSSCUG00000008074.1)". The record is from RNAcentral. Lineage: Eukaryota; Metazoa; Chordata; Aves; Struthioniformes; Struthionidae.